Long non-coding RNA from Triticum dicoccoides, 164 nucleotides. RefSeq lists it as uncharacterized. NCBI's taxonomy places the organism in Eukaryota, Viridiplantae, Streptophyta, Magnoliopsida, Poales, Poaceae. The record is from RefSeq and is a predicted model, not a curated record. The transcript has 3 exons.
GGGCUAUCGAGAUGGAUCUGGGAGCCAAGCAGUAGUUCUUCUGUUAAAUUUUGCUUGUUGGCAUAGAUGCGUGGCACUGCGGCAACUAAUCAAGAGCGAGGGCAGUGCACAUCAGAGCUACGCUGAAUGUAGCGAGCCAACCACGAAUUGGGAUGAAAGUAGCG